GUAAAAAUUUGCAUGGUAUGAUUUUAAAAACUUGAAUUUUUAACUUAAUGUUCUAUGUUCUGUAGUAAUCUCAUUUUCAUGUUACCAAAGGAAACCUGUUAUGACCAGAAUAAAUUAUUUUCCCAACAUUGAACUAAGAAUUCCUAGAGCUGGGGAAAUAAAGGAAUGUCCUUUGCUGCCAGCCUCCUUCCUUCCUCCUUAGGAUACCUCUUUAAAAUUAAUUAUUAGUUUGGUUUUCCCAUUUAAUAGAGAAAUUAUUUAGGAUGUUUUCUAAAAUGUCCAAGUAGCUAGCUAUAACUUGCUGUUUAUUCUUUGAUUGACAGUGACUAAUGUCAUUUCACAGUGGCCAGGAAAUGUGGGCUGUAUGAUCUCCACUUUGAGAGGAUUUUGACCCAAUGCCUGGGUCAUUUAUGUGGCUGGCCUCUGGAUAUCUGAAAGUAAUAUGAAUCCUUCAUUUGCUGGUUUCAAAGUACUAUCUACCUAUCUUCCUGUCUAUCACAUAAAUGUUUCCAGUGAUGCCAUCAAUAGUUACAGAAAUUGAUUGAUUUUUAUAUAUCUGACCUAUUGAUUUCUAAACACAAUAUAUUAAAAUCUUCUACUAUGAUUACCAAUGUACCAGUUAUCAAUUUUGCCUUUUAUUGCCAUAGCUUUCUGUUUCCUAGAUACUAAGUUGUUGUGAUUUUAUAUAGAUAGAUAGAUAGAUAGAUAGAUAGAUAGAUAGAUUGAUUGAUAGAUUUUCACCCACAGUUAUUGGCUCUUAACUCAUAAAAUCCUUGGGAUCGCCGAAGUGUUUUCUUUAGAAUACCUUUUGUCUGAUAGGUUCCAGGGUGGGGCUGGUCCCUGGAAAGACAAAGGCAGGAGUAGAGAGUUGGGACUUUCAGCCCCACACCCAAUCUCCAGGGAAGGGAUAGGGGCUGAAGGUCAAGUUGUUCACCAAUGGCCAAUGGUUUAAUCAAUCAUGCCUAUGUAACAAAGCUUCCAUAAUCCAAAAGGACUGGGUUCAGAGAGCUUCCGGGUAGCUGAACAUGUGGAGGUUCCUGGGAAACGGUACGCCCAGGGAGGGCAGGGUGGCUCCACGCCUCUUCCUUCCUUCAUACUUUGCCCUAUGUGUCUGUAUCCUUUGUAACAUCCUUCUUAAUAAAGCAGUAAACAUA
This 1154-nucleotide long non-coding RNA is filed under the name Homo sapiens (human). RNAcentral describes it as "HSALNT0298825". The record is from RNAcentral. Lineage: Eukaryota; Metazoa; Chordata; Mammalia; Primates; Hominidae.